CAGCCGCCACGGUAAUACGAAGGGUGCAAGCGUUAAUCGGAAUUACUAGGCGUAAAGCGUGCGUAGGCGGUUUGUUAAGUCUGCUGUGAAAUCCCCGGGCUCAACCUGGGAAUGGCAGUGGAUACUGGCAAGCUAGAGUGUGUCAGAGGAUGGUGGAAUUCUCGGUGUAGCGGUGAAAUGCGUAGAGAUCGGGAGGAACAUCAGUGGCGAAGGCGGCCAUCUGGGACAACACUGACGCUGAGGCACGAAAGCGUGGGGAGCAAACAGGAUUAGAGACCCGCGUAGUCCCUGUCUCUUAUAC
RNAcentral lists this ribosomal RNA (301 nucleotides) under uncultured bacterium. Its description in RNAcentral is "partial 16S ribosomal RNA". It matches the Rfam family "Bacterial small subunit ribosomal RNA", at positions 509 to 807 of the family's 1533-position model. The record is from RNAcentral.